This 387-nucleotide ribosomal RNA is filed under the name Escherichia coli. Its description in RNAcentral is "partial 23S ribosomal RNA". It matches the Rfam family "Bacterial large subunit ribosomal RNA", at positions 139 to 563 of the family's 2925-position model. The record is from RNAcentral. Lineage: Bacteria; Pseudomonadati; Pseudomonadota; Gammaproteobacteria; Enterobacterales; Enterobacteriaceae.
UUCGACACACUAUCAUUAACUGAAUCCAUAGGUUAAUGAGGCGAACCGGGGGAACUGAAACAUCUAAGUACCCCGAGGAAAAGAAAUCAACCGAGAUUCCCCCAGUAGCGGCGAGCGAACGGGGAGGAGCCCAGAGCCUGAAUCAGUGUGUGUGUUAGUGGAAGCGUCUGGAAAGGCGCGCGAUACAGGGUGACAGCCCCGUACACAAAAAUGCACAUAUUGUGAGCUCGAUGAGUAGGGCGGGACACGUGGUAUCCUGUCUGAAUAUGGGGGGACCAUCCUCCAAGGCUAAAUACUCCUGACUGACCGAUAGUGAACCAGUACCGUGAGGGAAAGGCGAAAAGAACCCCGGCGAGGGGAGUGAAAAAGAACCUGAAACCGUGUACG